RNAcentral lists this ribosomal RNA (2886 nucleotides) under Klebsiella pneumoniae. Its description in RNAcentral is "23S ribosomal RNA". It matches the Rfam family "Bacterial large subunit ribosomal RNA". The record is from RNAcentral. Lineage: Bacteria; Pseudomonadati; Pseudomonadota; Gammaproteobacteria; Enterobacterales; Enterobacteriaceae.
GGUUAAGCGACUAAGCGUACACGGUGGAUGCCCUGGCAGUCAGAGGCGAUGAAGGACGUGCUAAUCUGCGAAAAGCGUCGGUAAGGUGAUAUGAACCGUUAUAACCGGCGAUGUCCGAAUGGGGAAACCCAGUGCAAUUCGUUGCACUAUCGUUAACUGAAUACAUAGGUUAACGAGGCGAACCGGGGAACUGAAACAUCUAAGUACCCCGAGGAAAAGAAAUCAACCGAGAUUCCCCAGUAGCGGCGAGCGAACGGGGAGCAGCCCAGAGUCUGAAUCAGCUUGUGUGUUAGUGGAACGGUCUGGAAAGUCCGACGGUACAGGGUGAUAGUCCCGUACACCAAAAUGCACAGGCUGUGAACUCGAAGAGUAGGGCGGGACACGUGGUAUCCUGUCUGAAUAUGGGGACCAUCCUCCAAGGCUAAAUACUCCUGACUGACCGAUAGUGAACCAGUACCGUGAGGGAAAGGCGAAAAGAACCCCGGCGAGGGAGUGAAAAAGAACCUGAAACCGUGUACGUACAAGCAGUGGGAGCACCUUCGGGUGUGACUGCGUACCUUUGUAUAAUGGGUCAGCGACUUAUAUUCUGUAGCAAGGUUAACCGUAUAGGGAGCCGCAGGGAAACCGAGUCUUAACUGGGCGUUAAGUUGCAGGGUAUAGACCCGAAACCCGGUGAUCUAGCCAUGGGCAGGUUGAAGGUUGGGUAACACUAACUGGAGGACCGAACCGACUAAUGUUGAAAAAUUAGCGGAUGACUUGUGGCUGGGGUGAAAGGCCAAUCAAACCGGGAGAUAGCUGGUUCUCCCGAAAGCUAUUUAGGUAGCGCCUCGUGAACUCAUCUUCGGGGUAGAGCACUGUUUCGGCUAGGGGUCAUCCCGACUUACCAACCCGAUGCAAACUACGAAUACCGAAGAAUGUUAUCACGGGAGACACACGGCGGGUGCUAACGUCCGUCGUGAAGAGGGAAACAACCCAGACCGCCAGCUAAGGUCCCAAAGUCAUGGUUAAGUGGGAAACGAUGUGGGAAGGCACAGACAGCCAGGAUGUUGGCUUAGAAGCAGCCAUCAUUUAAAGAAAGCGUAAUAGCUCACUGGUCGAGUCGGCCUGCGCGGAAGAUGUAACGGGGCUAAACCAUGCACCGAAGCUGCGGCAGCGACACUAUGUGUUGUUGGGUAGGGAGCGUUCUGUAAGCCUGCGAAGGUGUGCUGUGAGGCAUGCUGGAGGUAUCAGAAGUGCGAAUGCUGACAUAAGUAACGAUAAAGCGGGUGAAAAGCCCGCUCGCCGGAAGACCAAGGGUUCCUGUCCAACGUUAAUCGGGGCAGGGUGAGUCGACCCUAAGGCGAGGCCGAAAGGCGUAGUCGAUGGGAAACAGGUUAAUAUUCCUGUACUUGGUGUUACUGCGAAGGGGGACGGAGAAGGCUAUGUUAGCCGGGCGACGGUUGUCCCGGUUUAAGCAUGUAGGCUGAUUGUCCAGGCAAAUCCGGAUAAUCAAGGCUGAGGUGUGAUGACGAGGCACUACGGUGCUGAAGUAACAAAUGCCCUGCUUCCAGGAAAGCCUCUAAGCAUCAGGUAACAUUAAAUCGUACCCCAAACCGACACAGGUGGUCAGGUAGAGAAUACCAAGGCGCUUGAGAGAACUCGGGUGAAGGAACUAGGCAAAAUGGUGCCGUAACUUCGGGAGAAGGCACGCUGGUGUGUAGGUGAAGUCCCUGCGGAUGGAGCUGAGACCAGUCGAAGAUACCAGCUGGCUGCAACUGUUUAUUAAAAACACAGCACUGUGCAAACACGAAAGUGGACGUAUACGGUGUGACGCCUGCCCGGUGCCGGAAGGUUAAUUGAUGGGGUUAUCCGUAAGGAGAAGCUCUUGAUCGAAGCCCCGGUAAACGGCGGCCGUAACUAUAACGGUCCUAAGGUAGCGAAAUUCCUUGUCGGGUAAGUUCCGACCUGCACGAAUGGCGUAAUGAUGGCCAGGCUGUCUCCACCCGAGACUCAGUGAAAUUGAACUCGCUGUGAAGAUGCAGUGUACCCGCGGCAAGACGGAAAGACCCCGUGAACCUUUACUAUAGCUUGACACUGAACAUUGAGCCUUGAUGUGUAGGAUAGGUGGGAGGCUUUGAAGCGUGGACGCCAGUCUGCGUGGAGCCAACCUUGAAAUACCACCCUUUAAUGUUUGAUGUUCUAACGUUGGCCCCUGACCGGGGUUGCGGACAGUGUCUGGUGGGUAGUUUGACUGGGGCGGUCUCCUCCCAAAGCGUAACGGAGGAGCACGAAGGUUAGCUAAUCCUGGUCGGACAUCAGGAGGUUAGUGCAAUGGCAUAAGCUAGCUUGACUGCGAGCGUGACGGCGCGAGCAGGUGCGAAAGCAGGUCAUAGUGAUCCGGUGGUUCUGAAUGGAAGGGCCAUCGCUCAACGGAUAAAAGGUACUCCGGGGAUAACAGGCUGAUACCGCCCAAGAGUUCAUAUCGACGGCGGUGUUUGGCACCUCGAUGUCGGCUCAUCACAUCCUGGGGCUGAAGUAGGUCCCAAGGGUAUGGCUGUUCGCCAUUUAAAGUGGUACGCGAGCUGGGUUUAGAACGUCGUGAGACAGUUCGGUCCCUAUCUGCCGUGGGCGCUGGAGAAUUGAGGGGGCUGCUCCUAGUACGAGAGGACCGGAGUGGACGCAUCACUGGUGUUCGGGUUGUCAUGCCAAUGGCACUGCCCGGUAGCUAAAUGCGGAAGAGAUAAGUGCUGAAAGCAUCUAAGCACGAAACUUGCCCCGAGAUGAGUUCUCCCUGAGACUUUAAGUCUCCUGAAGGAACGUUAAAGACGAUGACGUUGAUAGGCCGGGUGUGUAAGCGCAGCGAUGCGUUGAGCUAACCGGUACUAAUGAACCGUGAGGCUUAACCUU